This 347-nucleotide ribosomal RNA is filed under the name uncultured bacterium. Its description in RNAcentral is "partial 16S ribosomal RNA". It matches the Rfam family "Bacterial small subunit ribosomal RNA", at positions 338 to 682 of the family's 1533-position model. The record is from RNAcentral.
CCUACGGGUGGCAGCAGUGAGGAAUAUUGGUCAAUGGACGCAAGUCUGAACCAGCCAUGCCGCGUGCAGGAAGACGGCUCUAUGAGUUGUAAACUGCUUUUGUACGAGGGUAAAGGCAGAGAGGCGUGCCUGUCUGAAAGUAUCGUACGAAUAAGGAUCGGCUAACUCCGUGCCAGCAGCCGCGGUAAUACGGAGGGGUCAAGCGUUAUCCGGAUUUACUGGGGUUAAAGGGUGCGUAGGCGGUCGGAUAAGUUGGAGGUGAAAUCCCGAGGCUCAACUUCGGAAUUGCCUGUGAAACUGUUCGGCUAGAGUGUGGUUGCGGUAGGCGGAAUGCAUGGUGUAGCGGU